CGCAUCUGUGCAUGCAGCAUAUCAAUAAGCGGAGGAAAAGAAACUAACAAGGAUUCCCCUAGUAACGGCGAGUGAAGCGGGAAGAGCUCAAAUUUGAAAUCUUAAAGGGUUUCCCUUUACGAAUUGUAGUUUAAAGAAGUGUUUUCUGUUGAGGUUUUGGUAAAAGUUCUUUGGAAUAGGACAUCAUAGAGGGUGAGAAUCCCGUAUUUGACCUUUACUUUCAACUUUGUGAUACACUUUCGAAGAGUCGGAUUGUUUGGGAAUGCAGUCCAAAAUGGGUGGUAAAUUUCAUCUAUAAGCUAAAUAUUGGCGAGAGACCGAUAGCGAACAAGUACCGUGAGGGAAAGAUGAAAAGAACUUUGAAAAGAGAGUUAAACAGUACGUGAAAUUGUCAAAAGGGAAGCGUUUGACACCAGUGUUGUUUUUCUGAAAAUCAAUUAAAGAACUGUUUAUGCUAAGUUGUUUAGACUUUAUCAGCUAUCUGUUUAGUUUUGAGCUUUUCUUUAAUGCACUUUUCAGUUAACAAGUCAACAUCAAUUUCUUUUGCUGUAAAAAAGCUUGAGGAAGGUGGCUCGAGAUUCGUCUUAAGUGUUUAUAGCCUCUUGCCUAUGCAGUCGGAGAGAUUGAGGUCUGCAGCGUAGAUCCUUCGGGGCUAAAUGCAUUUGUGCUAAGUUAUAGCAUUUUAUAGACAACUUGUUGACUAUGAUUUGUCUUGUAGCUUACUCGCUUAUGUUAUUUUACCUACGCUUAGGAUGUUGAGUCAUCACACAUCUCU
This 775-nucleotide ribosomal RNA is filed under the name uncultured Neocallimastigales. RNAcentral describes it as "partial large subunit ribosomal RNA". It matches the Rfam family "Eukaryotic large subunit ribosomal RNA", at positions 26 to 614 of the family's 3401-position model. Lineage: Eukaryota; Fungi; Neocallimastigomycota; Neocallimastigomycetes; Neocallimastigales. The record is from RNAcentral.